GUGAUCUAAAAUAGAAUAAUAUUAAGUCUCCACGAAGCCACGCGAGCUAAAUUUUUUUUUCUACUUUAGGAGGUAAUUUUAGUGUAGCAGUACUAAUACACUAUGAUAAUUUAGGGGUGAUAGGCCUUACAAGCCUGGCGAUAUCUUGAUUAUAAAGAAAUAUAUUUAGUAUGUAGACGAUCUAGUAAUGUUAAGGUUAUUAGAAAACAUUAUUUAGUAUAAAGCUUUGAUUGAAUAUGUAAAAAUUACAAUUUAAUUUUUCUUAACAUGCAACAUCUUAAAUAUAUGUAAAGUACUUAUACACUUAAUAUAAUAAAUUUGAGAAGUUGAAAAUGAUUUCAUUAGUAUUUUUAUAUAUUUGAUUUAGGAACUCGGCAAAACGAUAUUCUCGACUGUUUAACAAAAACAUGCCUUAGGUUAGUAUAUAAGGUUUACCCUGCUCAAUGAUAUGAUUAAAUAGCCGCAGUACCUUGACUGUGCAAAGGUAGCAUAAUCAGUUGGCUUAUAAUUGAAGUCUAGUAUGAAUGGGAAUUAGGGAAUAAGCUGUCUUAAUAUAAAUAAUUAGAAUUUCCUUAUUAAGUGAAAAUUCUUAAGGAAAGAAAUUAGACGAGAAGACCCUAGAAAUUUUUUAUAUUAGUAAUAAUAAAUAUUUUGUUGGGGCGACAGGGUAACAAAGUCUAACUUACCAAGACUUAUAGGAAACUAUUUAGUUGAAUAAAUAUAAUUACUCUAGGGAUAACAGCAUUAUUUAAUAUAAGAUUGUGACCUCGAUGUUGGACUAGGGAACACCUUACUUAAAAGGUAAAGUAGUGAGCUCUGUUCGAGCUGAAUCCCCUACAUGAUCUGAGUUCAGACCGG
Molecule: ribosomal RNA, 858 nt
Filed under: Lazicana suanetica
Lineage: Eukaryota; Metazoa; Mollusca; Gastropoda; Stylommatophora; Hygromiidae
Description: partial 16S ribosomal RNA
Source: RNAcentral